AACGAACGCUGGCGGCAGGCUUAACACAUGCAAGUCGAACGCAUCCUUCGGGGUGAGUGGCAGACGGGUGAGUAACGCGUGGGAACGUGCCCUUCAGUUCGGGAUAACCCAGGGAAACUUGGGCUAAUACCGGAUACGUGCGAGAGCAGAAAGAUUUAUCGCUGAAGGAUCGGCCCGCGUCUGAUUAGCUAGUUGGUGGGGUAAUGGCCCACCAAGGCGACGAUCAGUAGCUGGUCUGAGAGGAUGAUCAGCCACAAUGGGACGGAGACACGGCCCAAACUCCUACGGGAGGCAGCAGUGGGGAAUAGUGGACAAUGGGCGCAAGGCUAAUCCAGCGAUGCCGCGUGAGAGAUGAAGGCCUUAGGGUUGUAAAGCUCUUUCGUCCGGGACGAUAAUGACGGUACCGGAAGAAGAAGCCCCGGCUAACUUCGUGCCAGCAGCCGCGGUAA
Molecule: ribosomal RNA, 449 nt
Filed under: uncultured bacterium
Lineage: Bacteria
Description: partial 16S ribosomal RNA
Rfam family: Bacterial small subunit ribosomal RNA
Source: RNAcentral